GGUAGCGUGAUUCUUGUUUUCUUAAUUAGAAAUCUGUUCAAAGAAUGAUAUGGAGAGAAUCUAUUGUUUUCAUAUUGAGUGAAUUUAAAAUGUUAGUGAAAAUUCUGACGUGUCCUUAAAAGACGAGAAGACCCCAUAAAACUUAAUUUGAUCUAAUAAUCCUUUGGUUUAAAAUUUAAAUGGGGACUUUAGAGUAUACUAAUAACUUAAAGACCUAUAUUUUUAUUCUUUGAGAAGCUACUUUGGGGAUAACAGGGUAAAAUAUUUGGAGAGUCCUUAUCGAUAAAUAUGACUACUACCUCGAUGUUGGAUUAUC
This 316-nucleotide ribosomal RNA is filed under the name Brachionus plicatilis. Its description in RNAcentral is "partial 16S ribosomal RNA". It matches the Rfam family "Bacterial large subunit ribosomal RNA", at positions 1955 to 2541 of the family's 2925-position model. The record is from RNAcentral. Lineage: Eukaryota; Metazoa; Rotifera; Eurotatoria; Ploima; Brachionidae.